GACGAACGCUGGCGGCGUGCUUAACACAUGCAAGUCGAACGGAAAGGCCCUGCUUUUGUGGGGUGCUCGAGUGGCGAACGGGUGAGUAACACGUGAGUAACCUGCCCUUGACUUUGGGAUAACUUCAGGAAACUGGGGCUAAUACUGGAUAGGAGCUCCUGCUGCAUGGUGGGGGUUGGAAAGUUUCGGCGGUUGGGGAUGGACUCGCGGCUUAUCAGCUUGUUGGUGGGGUAGUGGCUUACCAAGGCUUUGACGGGUAGCCGGCCUGAGAGGGUGACCGGCCACAUUGGGACUGAGAUACGGCCCAGACUCCUACGGGAGGCAGCAGUGGGAAUAUUGCACAAUGGGCGGAAGCCUGAUGCAGCAACGCCGCGUGCGGGAUGACGGCCUUCGGGUUGUAAACCGCUUUCGCCUGUGACGAAGCGUGAGUGACGGUAAUGGGUAAAGAAGCACCGGCUAACUACGUG
Molecule: ribosomal RNA, 467 nt
Filed under: uncultured bacterium
Lineage: Bacteria
Description: partial 16S ribosomal RNA
Rfam family: Bacterial small subunit ribosomal RNA
Source: RNAcentral